AAGCGCAAGUCGCCAACAGACUUACCGGAGGAGCUGGUUUUCGAGAUUCUCGCCCGUCUGCCGGUCAAGUCCCUUCUCCGGUUCAAAUCUCUGAGCAAGGCCUGGCGCGCGGCCAUCUCCGGCCCCGCGUUCACCCGCGCGCACCUGGAGCACUCGGCCUCAAAAUGGGAGCAGAGCCCAUCGCUGCUGAUCACCCCGCACGCCCUCGACGGCGCCAUCGAAGGGGAGGUCUGGCCGACCACCUUCUCCACGCGAGUCCGGUUCUACCGCUGGCAUCCAUGCCGCGCCUCGGAGGUGGCGAGGCUCGUGCACGGCGAGGACUUCCGCGGGGAGUUCGGCUGCGUGUGCCACAUGGUCCACUGCGACGGCCUGGUGCUCCCCACCAACGCCAGCGUCUACCUCUUCAACCCGGCCACCAGGGACGCCCUGACGCUGCCGGAGAGCAACCCCAGCAAGGUCCCCGUGCCGCGUGAUUUCUGCCUCCCCGUGGGGCUCGGGCUGGACCCUCGCUCCGGCCGGUACAAGGUGGCCCGGGCCUUCUUCCGCUACGUGGAGCCUCUCACGUACGCUUUCCACAUGGGGAUGCAAGUGUACACCGUCGGCGACGCGGCCGCCUGCUGGAGGGAAACCGCCACCGAUCCGCCUUACCCGCCGGCCGAGUGGCUGACGGUCAAAUCGGUCAAGGGGCGCAUGUUCUGGGUCAUGGACACGGACCAUGUCAAGACGCCGUGCCCGCGCGGCCUUCUCCGAUUCAGCCUGGAAGACGAGACGUUUGGCGUCACCGGCAUGCCCGAUUCGUUGGACCCUGCUCUCGGUAAAUCCUUCCUGCUGGAGGUGGUGCGAGGGGAGCUUUGCCUGGUCGCUUCUAGCAGCGCGAGGCCCGGCCCGCAGCCUGUGUCCAUUUGGACGCUGGUACUACAAGAUGAUGAUGAUGACAUGAACUCGUGUUGGGAGCGGCGUUACUUGAUCAACAUGGAUCCAAUUGGCCGUCCAAUUACUCUUCUUACGGGCGAUGGGCUACUGUUCCAUGCGCAUCACAUUCUCUACCGCUAUGGGCUGCGCACAGCUGAGCUGACGGAGGUGUGCGAGUUGGGAGCUCUGAGAUACCAGCGUCGUAGAGCUGGCACCUUCGAGCCUCAUGCCCAGGAUAUCUUCUUCUUCAACGUAAUACCUAACGUGGAAAGUAUGGUUAGACUUAUUGCUUAG
RNAcentral lists this ribosomal RNA (1206 nucleotides) under Triticum aestivum (bread wheat). Its description in RNAcentral is "partial small subunit ribosomal RNA". The record is from RNAcentral. Lineage: Eukaryota; Viridiplantae; Streptophyta; Magnoliopsida; Poales; Poaceae.